RNAcentral lists this unclassified non-coding RNA (210 nucleotides) under plant metagenome. RNAcentral's name for it is "partial contains small subunit ribosomal RNA, internal transcribed spacer 1, and 5.8S ribosomal RNA". The record is from RNAcentral.
GUAGGUGAACCUGCGGAAGGAUCAUUACCGAUUUUUAGCGGAUCUGAUCUUUGGUCAUGGUCUCGCGAAAAACUUGUAUUUAAAACCCACUCUUAUAAAUUAAAUCAUAUCAUUUAUACAAUGUAUAUAAUAAAUAAAGAUCACUUUCAACAACGGAUCUCUUGGCUUUCGCAUCGAUGAAGAACGCAGCAUCUGACUGACUCCGGGAUU